UUAACAGAACCCUUCGGGGCGAAGAUAAAGUGGAUUAGCGGCGGACGGGUGAGUAACACGUGAGUAACCUGCCUUAGACAUUGGGAUAGCCUCGGGAAACCGGGAUUAAUACCAAAUAAAAUCAUAAUGACACAUGUCAUAACGAUCAAAACUCCGGUGGUCUAAGAUGGACUCGCGUCCCAUUAGCUAGUUGGUAGAGUAAAAGCCUACCAAGGCGACGAUGGGUAGCCGGCCUGAGAGGGUGAACGGCCACAUUGGAACUGAGAAACGGUCCAAACUCCUACGGGAGGCAGCAGUGGGGAAUAUUGCACAAUGGAGGGAACUCUGAUGCAGCGACGCCGCGUGAACGAAGAAGGCUUUCGAGUCGUAAAGUUCUUUUAUAUGGGAAGAUAAUGACGGUACCAUAAGAAAAAGCCCCGGCUAACUACGUGCCAGCAGCCGCGGUAAUACGUAGGGGGCUAGCGUUGUCCGGAAUCACUGGGUGUAAAGGGUUCGCAGGCGGAAAUGCAAGUCAGAUGUAAAAGGCAGUAGCUUAACUACUGUAAGCAUUUGAAACUGCAUAUCUUGAGAAGAGUAGAGGUAAGUGGAAUUUUUAGUGUAGCGGUGAAAUGCGUAGAUAUUAAAAAGAAUACCGGUGGCGAAGGCGACUUACUGGGCUCAUUCU
This 664-nucleotide ribosomal RNA is filed under the name uncultured Eubacteriales bacterium. RNAcentral's name for it is "bacterial SSU rRNA". It matches the Rfam family "Bacterial small subunit ribosomal RNA", at positions 67 to 741 of the family's 1533-position model. The record is from RNAcentral. Lineage: Bacteria; Bacillati; Bacillota; Clostridia; Eubacteriales.